GCCUCUGCCUUAAAACCUGACGUCAUCCGCCGCCAUCUUGCUGCUCCCUGCUCUCACGGAGUCAUAAACAUGCCGACGUGUGUAGCAUUUGGCUGCAACAACAAGCAGUUUUCCGGCUGUGGGAGGACGUUUCACAGAUUUCCACACGGUAAUGCUGAACGGAUGAAGCAGUGGGUGCUGAAUGUGAGAAGGAAAAAGUGGCAGCCAUCCAAGACGUCGGUGCUUUGCUCGGAGCAUUUUGAGGAGCAAUGCUUUGACCGUACUGGCCAGACGGUCCGACUCAGGGAAGGUGCACUCCCAACCUUAUUCAACUUCCCCAAGCGUAUUCAGAAGACUCCAAAAUCUCCCGGGAAAGAUCUGGCGCACGGACUGGUAAAACAAGAACCAACACCGGGUCCGCAUAUUGACCAAGAGCAAGGAAGUUCCUCGUGCGCAACAGGGGAUGCAGUAGUGAAGAGAGAACAUGUGUAUGCCAUCAGUGAUAGUCCCAAAAUGUUAAAAAGGAAGUUAGACGUGGCUUUGGAUGCCCUAGCAUCAACCAAGAAAAAACUUAAGUGCAUGCAACAGAAAUCAAGGCGGCCGAAGAAGAUGUGUAUAUAUAAUUAUGUAAUACCGAAUACUGAUUUUAUUAUAUGGGAGUAUAAUGAAGAACAGUAAACAUGAUACAUUAAAAAAAUGAUUUUGUGGUGAUUACA
Long non-coding RNA from Fundulus heteroclitus (mummichog), 695 nucleotides. RefSeq lists it as uncharacterized. The record is from RefSeq and is a predicted model, not a curated record. The transcript has 3 exons. NCBI's taxonomy places the organism in Eukaryota, Metazoa, Chordata, Actinopteri, Cyprinodontiformes, Fundulidae.